This 396-nucleotide ribosomal RNA is filed under the name Chloropicon mariensis. RNAcentral describes it as "partial Bacterial small subunit ribosomal RNA". It matches the Rfam family "Bacterial small subunit ribosomal RNA", at positions 507 to 903 of the family's 1533-position model. The record is from RNAcentral. Lineage: Eukaryota; Viridiplantae; Chlorophyta; Chloropicophyceae; Chloropicales; Chloropicaceae.
GCCAGCAGCCGCGGUAAUACGGAGGGUGCAAGCGUUGUCCGGAUUUAUUGGGUUUAAAGGGUGCGUAGGUGGCUUUCUAAGUCUGACCUGAAAGUGGGCCGCUUAACGGCACAGGGUGGUUGGAUACUGGAGGGCUUGAAACAAGUGGAGGCAGGCGGAACGGAUUGUGUAGCGGUGAAAUGCAUAGAGAUGAUCCAGAACCCCGAUUGCGAAGGCAGCCUGCUACGCUUGCUUUGACACUGAGGCACGAGAGCAUGGGGAGCAAACAGGAUUAGAUACCCUGGUAGUCCACACCGUAAACGAUGAAUGCCAGUCGUCGGGUAGCAUGCUAUUCGGUGACACACCUAACGGAUUAAGCAUUCCGCCUGGGGAGUACGGUCGCAAGACUGAAACUCA